This 427-nucleotide ribosomal RNA is filed under the name uncultured bacterium. RNAcentral's name for it is "partial 16S ribosomal RNA". It matches the Rfam family "Bacterial small subunit ribosomal RNA", at positions 355 to 774 of the family's 1533-position model. The record is from RNAcentral.
UAGGGAAUCUUCCGCAAUGGACGAAAGUCUGACGGAGCAACGCCGCGUGAGUGAUGAAGGUUUUCGGAUCGUAAAACUCUGUUAUUAGGGAAGAACAAAUGCGUAAGUAACUGUGCGCAUCUUGACGGUACCUAAUCAGAAAGCCACGGCUAACUACGUGCCAGCAGCCGCGGUAAUACGUAGGUGGCAAGCGUUAUCCGGAAUUAUUGGGCGUAAAGCGCGCGUAGGCGGUUUCUUAAGUCUGAUGUGAAAGCCCACGGCUCAACCGUGGAGGGUCAUUGGAAACUGGGAAACUUGAGUACAGAAGAGGAAAGUGGAAUUCCAUGUGUAGCGGUGAAAUGCGCAGAGAUAUGGAGGAUCACCAGUGGCGAAGGCGACUUUCUGGUCUGUAACUGACGCUGAUGUGCGAAAGCGUGGGGAUCAAACA